AUUGAACGCUGGCGGUAUGCUUAACACAUGCAAGUCGAACGGCAGCAUGUCUUAUCUUCGGAUUUGAUGAUGGCGAGUGGCGGACGGGUGAGUAACACGUAGGUAUCUACCUGAAAGUGGGGGACAACCCGGGGAAACUCGGGCUAAUACCGCAUAUUCUCUACGGAGGAAAGCUGGGGACCGUAAGGCCUGGCGCUUUCAGAUGAGCCUGCGGCAGAUUAGCUUGUUGGUAGGGUAAAGGCCUACCAAGGCGACGAUCUGUAGCUGGUCUGAGAGGAUGAUCAGCCACACUGGGACUGAGACACGGCCCAGACUCCUACGGGAGGCAGCAGUGGGGAAUUUUGGACAAUGGGCGAAAGCCUGAUCCAGCAAUACCGCGUGUGUGAUGAAGGCCUUCGGGUCGUAAAGCACUUUCAGUUGUGAAGAAAUGCACAUGGUUAAUAGCCAUGUGAGCUGACGUUAACAACAAAAGAAGCACCGGCUAACUCUGUGCCAGCCGCCGCCGUAACAC
Molecule: ribosomal RNA, 511 nt
Filed under: uncultured bacterium
Lineage: Bacteria
Description: bacterial SSU rRNA
Rfam family: Bacterial small subunit ribosomal RNA
Source: RNAcentral